RNAcentral lists this transfer RNA (67 nucleotides) under bovine gut metagenome. It matches the Rfam family "tRNA". From Rfam's summary of the family: Transfer RNA (tRNA) molecules are approximately 80 nucleotides in length. Their secondary structure includes four short double-helical elements and three loops (D, anti-codon, and T loops). Further hydrogen bonds mediate the characteristic L-shaped molecular structure. tRNAs have two regions of fundamental functional importance: the anti-codon, which is responsible for specific mRNA codon recognition, and the 3' end, to which the tRNAs corresponding amino acid is attached (by aminoacyl-tRNA synthetases). tRNAs cope with the degeneracy of the genetic code in two manners: having more than one tRNA (with a specific anti-codon) for a particular amino acid; and 'wobble' base-pairing, i.e. permitting non-standard base-pairing at the 3rd anti-codon position. The record is from RNAcentral.
CUUGUAGUCUAAUGGAUAGAACAUCGGCCUCCGACGCCGUCGAUGCAGGUUCGAUUCCUGUCAGGCG